AGCAGCCGCGGUAAUUCCAGCUCCAAUAGCGUAUAUUAAAGUUGUUGCAGUUAAAAAGCUCGUAGUUGAAUUUCGGGACCAAUCUGCCGGUCGUGCCUCCGGUACGCACUGGUUUUAUUGGGCUCUCCCUUCUGACGAACCAUGAUGUCAUUAAUUUGGUGUCAUGGGGAAUCAGGACUGUUACUUUGAAAAAAUUAGAGUGUUUAAAGCAGGCUCACGCUUGAAUACAUUUGCAUGGAAUAAUGAAAUAGGACGUUUGACCCUAUUUUGUUGGUUUCUAGGAUCGACGUAAUGAUUAAUAGGGAUAGUUGGGGGCAUUAGUAUUCAAUUGUCAGAGGUGAAAUUCUUGGAUUUAUUGAAGACUAACUACUGCGAAAGCAUUUGCCAAGGAUGUUUUCAUUAAUCAAGAACGAAAGUUAGGGGAUCGAAGACGAUCAGAUACCGUCGUAGUCUUAACCAUAAACUAUGCCGACUAGGGAUCGGAUGAUGUAAUUUUAAUGACUCAUUCGGCGCCUUACGG
RNAcentral lists this ribosomal RNA (520 nucleotides) under uncultured Glomus. Its description in RNAcentral is "SSU rRNA". It matches the Rfam family "Eukaryotic small subunit ribosomal RNA", at positions 569 to 1093 of the family's 1831-position model. The record is from RNAcentral. Lineage: Eukaryota; Fungi; Glomeromycota; Glomeromycetes; Glomerales; Glomeraceae.